Molecule: long non-coding RNA, 281 nt
Filed under: Elaeis guineensis (African oil palm)
Lineage: Eukaryota; Viridiplantae; Streptophyta; Magnoliopsida; Arecales; Arecaceae
Description: long non-coding RNA (EGUI_LNC006784)
Source: RNAcentral
GGCCCAUAUAUUGAGUGAUUACAAUAUUUAUUGGAUAUAAAAUAAUCCCAGCCGAAGUUCGUAAAAGGCCGAUCCUUCCAAGACUCUUCCGGCUUCCAACUUUGUGUAGCGUCUUUCCGAACUCUCCCGACCGUCCGAGCUUCCAUAAUACCAUCCGGACUUCUCCAAUCAUGAGCUUCUCCAUUCAUCUACCGGACUGCUCCAAACGCUCUCUGAACUUCACUUUCAGCCGAUUCUCUACAGUGGUCGACUAUUCUCCGAAUCUCUUUCAGACUUCUCCC